This 388-nucleotide ribosomal RNA is filed under the name uncultured bacterium. RNAcentral's name for it is "bacterial SSU rRNA". It matches the Rfam family "Bacterial small subunit ribosomal RNA", at positions 234 to 639 of the family's 1533-position model. The record is from RNAcentral.
CGUAGGAUUAGGUAGUUGGUGGGGUAAUGGCCUACCAAGCCGACGAUCCUUAGCUGGUCUGAGAGGAUGAUCAGCCACACUGGGACUGAGACACGGCCCAGACUCCUACGGGAGGCAGCAGUGGGGAAUAUUGGACAAUGGGCGAAAGCCUGAUCCAGCAAUGCCGCGUGAGUGAUGAAGGCCUUAGGGUUGUAAAGCUCUUUUACCCGGGAUGAUAAUGACAGUACCGGGAGAAUAAGCUCCGGCUAACUCCGUGCCAGCAGCCGCGGUAAUACGAAGGGGGCUAGCGUUGCUCGGAAUUACUGGGCGUAAAGCGCACGUAGGCGGCUCUUUAAGUCGGGGGUGAAAUCCUGGAGCUCAACUCCAGAACUGCCUUCGAUACUGUAGA